Molecule: transfer RNA, 73 nt
Filed under: Phaeocystis globosa
Lineage: Eukaryota; Haptophyta; Phaeocystales; Phaeocystaceae
Rfam family: tRNA
About the family: Transfer RNA (tRNA) molecules are approximately 80 nucleotides in length. Their secondary structure includes four short double-helical elements and three loops (D, anti-codon, and T loops). Further hydrogen bonds mediate the characteristic L-shaped molecular structure. tRNAs have two regions of fundamental functional importance: the anti-codon, which is responsible for specific mRNA codon recognition, and the 3' end, to which the tRNAs corresponding amino acid is attached (by aminoacyl-tRNA synthetases). tRNAs cope with the degeneracy of the genetic code in two manners: having more than one tRNA (with a specific anti-codon) for a particular amino acid; and 'wobble' base-pairing, i.e. permitting non-standard base-pairing at the 3rd anti-codon position.
Source: RNAcentral
GCCGAGUUGGUCUAAGGCGUUGGAUUAAGGCUCCAAUCUCGCAAGGGGCGUGGGUUCGAAUCCCACCGGGGCC